Molecule: ribosomal RNA, 191 nt
Filed under: uncultured Actinomycetales bacterium
Lineage: Bacteria; Bacillati; Actinomycetota; Actinomycetes; Actinomycetales
Description: partial 16S ribosomal RNA
Rfam family: Bacterial small subunit ribosomal RNA
Source: RNAcentral
CGGGAUAAGCCUGGGAAACUGGGUCUAAUACCGGAUAGGACCAUGCUUUAGUGUGUGUGGUGGAAAGUUUUUCGGUGCAAGAUGAGCCCGCGGCCUAUCAGCUUGUUGGUGGGGUAAUGGCCUACCAAGGCGACGACGGGUAGCCGGCCUGAGAGGGUGUACGGCCACAUUGGGACUGAGACACGGCCCAG